CAACUUAGGGAGCCCAAUGGCCCAAACUCGAGCCUGGGGAACCCUAGCUCCCCGAUGCGGGUGGGAGUGGAACCCCACUGGAGUGGUAACUUUAGGUCAGUGGUCGACCACUUUAGUUAGCGGGAGCCCCGCUGGCCUGGGCAACUUUGAGAACUAGGAUGCUGGAAAUUAAAGAACUCUGUAGAAGAUGGUAGUUGCUUUGCAUCCAAUAACCUGGGUUAUGGUAGAGCAUAUCUUAUACUGUCACAGACUUACAGGGAAAUGAUGGUUAAUUCCUGAUUAAGACACCCAUAAUAUUUUUGCAUAUGUGGCUACUCGAUGCUGCAUUGCAAUGGAUCAAGAUUGAUCAUUACUUUUGAUGCAUGUAACAUGGUUUCGGGUCCAAUGAUCCAUUGACAAAAUGUCCAAUGAAUAUAAUCCAUCUGUCUUAUUCUGAUGCUGUGGAAUAUAAUGUGCACUGAUGCCAAAAGAAGUCAUCACUGAGCUAGAUGAGGAGCUUUCUCGAGAUCUUUUCUGGAUUUGGGUGAUUAUUGGUUUGAUAAUUAACAGAUCUUUAUCAUCAAAUGAUGCUGCUUAUGAUUAUUCCAAGAAAUGUGGCACAAAACUAUGCUACAACGAAAUAGGGGAUCUUGAUAAAGAGAAAACAUAUUUGCCAAAUUUCCCACCGGGUAGAAAGUUCUGGUUUCAAACCCCACAACAAGGCAUGUUAACUAUAGCCUAUGUUGUGACAACCCCAGCCAAGUUGGUCAGGGCGUCAGGCUAUUAGCUUGGUAACCACAAGGUUCUAAGUUCAACCCUCCCAGUGGGAGCCUUCUUGGUUUGAGUUGAUCAACUGCCUUAGUUUGAUCUCUUAAAGGUAGAUACACAUUUUUAAUGUGGAAGGGGAACUUGAAGAUUGCCACUGAAUAUGAAUCUUCAGUUUGCUUUUGAAUUAUUGAGAAUCAAAUCAAAAAGGGAGAAUAGAUAUUGGCUUCAUUGAGCAUUAUGAGGAAUCGAUUCCCACAUGGUAAAUUGCUUGUAACUUUUUUCCAGUUUGGAACUGAACCAUGUCUACCUAUACUACAUAAGCCUACUCAAAUGGAGAUUGUCUGUGCAGGAUAACACCGAUGUUACACACACACUUGGUGAAUGCGAGUGUGCACAUCCAUAUCAUCUUUACGUGGCUAGCAUCCAUCUUACUGGCAGAUGGAGAAACCAAGACGGUGAAUGAACCAAGAAGGAGAUUGGAUGUGCGCCGCAUGUCAACACAUAAAUUUUAAGAAACGAGAUGCAUGCCAACGAUGCAAUUGUCCUAAGUAUGCUUCUGAAGCUGAUGCGGCUUUAUAUGGGCGUAAUAAAUCAGAGGUCUUGCCCGGGGACUGGUACUGCAAUGCCUGUUGUGCUCACAACUAUGCAAGCCGAACAAACUGCUACAGAUGUGGAGCCUCGAAAAUUGGCUAUUAUGGCCUUGGGGCUGGAAUGAUAACACCGGGAAGUUAUGGAUAUGAUGCAAGUGUCCCUCCGGGAUAUAAGAAAGGUGACUGGAUUUGCAACAGACUUGGAUGUGGUUGGCACAAUUAUGCCAGCAGAACGGAAUGUUAUAAAUGCAGGAAUCCUCGGGAUUUCAGUGAGCCAUCAUCCAUGUGAUUCGGGAGAUGAUCUCUAAAGAAAGUAAUUAAGGAAGAGAGGCAUAAUAUCCUAGAAUUACUAAGAAUCCAAAAACCUUCAAAAUCAUUUCUUUCUUUUCUAUUUUCUCAUGUAUCUCUUGUCUUUUCUCAGUUGAUCAAAUAAUCUUUGACCAAUUUGCACUAGGAUGGUUUCUAACUAUAUUGUUGUAUGGUGCAAAGAAAGUCACUUGAAUGAAAUCCCUUUAGAUUUUCCA
This is a long non-coding RNA of Ipomoea nil (Japanese morning glory), 1861 nucleotides long. RefSeq lists it as uncharacterized. The record is from RefSeq and is a predicted model, not a curated record. The transcript is spliced from 5 exons. NCBI's taxonomy places the organism in Eukaryota, Viridiplantae, Streptophyta, Magnoliopsida, Solanales, Convolvulaceae.